RNAcentral lists this long non-coding RNA (414 nucleotides) under Rosa chinensis. Its description in RNAcentral is "sRNA RchiOBHm_Chr5g0046121". Lineage: Eukaryota; Viridiplantae; Streptophyta; Magnoliopsida; Rosales; Rosaceae. The record is from RNAcentral.
ACAUACUUAGUAAUCCUCUUGGGCCGCAAGGCCCAACACACAUAGUUAAGUUUUCAAGUGGACGUAGUUUCCAGCCUUAGUGGACGUAGUUUCCCGCUAAGGUGGGAAAUGAACCACUAUACUUCUAGUGUCUCUCUCUCUCUCUCUCUUUUACGUUAAUUAGAUCCCCCUUCGUUUUCUAACAUUAACAUCGGCUCCGUCUGUGGGAAGCCAACACAAAGGCUUCGUCACAUACCAUGAACUUCGGUAAACAUCAAAUUAGGAGUGGUCAACGGCCAUCAGGGCCAAUCAUCGCUUGGUCAACGCCCCGCAACGCAGGUCAACGCCCAUAGGGUCAAUCAAGGUUGGUCAACGCUGGUUACAGCCGGUCAACGCUCCACACACAAAAAAAAAUUCAGUGGCGAUUCUCUCUAG